This 253-nucleotide ribosomal RNA is filed under the name uncultured bacterium. Its description in RNAcentral is "partial 16S ribosomal RNA". It matches the Rfam family "Bacterial small subunit ribosomal RNA", at positions 524 to 776 of the family's 1533-position model. The record is from RNAcentral.
UACGUAGGGCGCAAGCGUUGUCCGGAGUUAUUGGGCGUAAAGAGCUCGUAGGCGGUUUGUCGCGUCUGAUGUGAAAACCUAAGGCUCAACCUUGGGCUUGCAGUGGGUACGGGCAGACUAGAGUGCGGUAGGGGUGACUGGAAUUCCUGGUGUAGCGGUGGAAUGCGCAGAUAUCAGGAGGAACACCGAUGGCGAAGGCAGGUCACUGGGCCGCAACUGACGCUGAGGAGCGAAAGCAUGGGGAGCGAACAGG